UGGGAAUCUUCCACAAUGGGCGCAAGCCUGAUGGAGCAACACCGCGUGAGUGAAGAAGGGUUUCGGCUCGUAAAGCUCUGUUGUUAAAGAAGAACACGUAUGAGAGUAACUGUUCAUACGUUGACGGUAUUUAACCAGAAAGUCACGGCUAACUACGUGCCAGCAGCCGCGGUAAUACGUAGGUGGCAAGCGUUAUCCGGAUUUAUUGGGCGUAAAGAGAGUGCAGGCGGUUUUCUAAGUCUGAUGUGAAAGCCUUCGGCUUAACCGGAGAAGUGCAUCGGAAACUGGAUAACUUGAGUGCAGAAGAGGGUAGUGGAACUCCAUGUGUAGCGGUGGAAUGCGUAGAUAUAUGGAAGAACACCAGUGGCGAAGGCGGCUACCUGGUCUGCAACUGACGCUGAGACUCGAAAGCAUGGGUAGCGAACAGGAUUAGAUACCCUGGUAG
RNAcentral lists this ribosomal RNA (445 nucleotides) under uncultured bacterium. RNAcentral's name for it is "bacterial SSU rRNA". It matches the Rfam family "Bacterial small subunit ribosomal RNA", at positions 356 to 793 of the family's 1533-position model. The record is from RNAcentral.